CACAGGUGGAUAAGCUCCUCUCUCCCUCACAGAACACGAUCGCCCCUCUUCCACUGCAUCCCCACCGGCGGCGAGACGAACACCCACCCCUGCUUGGUCCAUGGCGGCCGCCCUUCCCCAGCCGCUGAUCAUCUAAUGCCCCCCCCCCUUCCUGCCGAUGCGCCGGUCCAUGGCAGCCGCCCUUACCUCUCUUCACGCAGCCCGGAUUCGCCGUCUACGGCUUCCACCUCGCUUCCCUUUUCCCCAUCGCUCUCCAGCCCCGCGACGAACCCGUUCGCCGCCACCAGCCUAGUCCGCAGCCACAGCUCCGCUCCGCCGCCAUGGAUGAGCUUUGCCUCCAACGGAUCGUCGGCACCGACCACCGGGCAGCCUUGGAGGGAUCCGACAGAGGCUCCCCACCUCGACUGCGGCUGGAGGAGGCCAUCGAUGCCUCCUACUUCGCGCCGUCCCAGCAACAAUGAGCGCCGCCGCGUCCGUCCAUGGGUACCCCCUGCUCAGCGUACUUCGUAGACGGUUGACAUGAUGGAUGAGUAGUCUCCUGAUGACGAAGACCCUUAACUAUGAUGUCAUCUACUCUCAUUUGAUGUUCUACAAGCAAUCUUGCCCGGGAACAAAAUGCACAUCAUGGGGAACUUAAGAGUGGAGAAGAAAAACCCAGUCCAGGCAGGUGCGUUGGCUGAGGACUUGGUUGGCACCGACGUCGUCGGCUGCGGAAGGCGGCGAUGGCCAACACUUGCUGGACGGCGAAGGCGCAACAGUGGCUUGGCAGCGCCGACGUCUCACUGCAAUGUGCGUUUGAACGGCGACAUCGAAGAAAGACAUCGAGAUUAACUGGGAUGGAACUGGUCACAAACUGCACAAGAGGAUAAUCUGCACAUGGCGGCGAACCUGCGUUGGCUAGAAGCUCGUCGGCGCGGGCAUCAUCCGCUGCGCAUGGCGGCGAUGGCGCAGGACAGGCUGGGCGGCUGCGACGUACGUCUGGGUGGGCAAAGGCAGGAAGAUCGAGUUGAUUCCCGGACGAAAUGAAGAUCUCCCGGCUGGCCUAACCACACAUGGCGGUCAACCGCGAGGGAGAGAGAAUGUUUCGCUAGAUUGUGAGCUUCAUAGUUUGAGCUCCUAAAUUCAUGACCUAUCUUGCAAGAUAAAAAACUAGAAGAGUGUUCCAAUAUCUCCCGAAGGACAGCUCCAUAAGUAGCUAGCUUGCCAUGAUGCAACUCGUCGACAACCACCUUGCAAUCCGAGGCAACCUGUAUAUCUCGUGCAUAUAGAUCAUCCGCCAACGAGAGAGCUUCCCUUAUAGCUAGGGCUUCCAGCGUUUGAGGCUCUGUGAUAUGUUUGAAAACAAUGGCCUGAAGCCCGGCUUUGCCCUGUUGAUCUCUGCAGAUUGCUCCCACCGAACCAUGCUUCCUUCUCACGGCCACUGCCCCGUCAACAUUGAUCUUGACACAACCUUGGAUUGGGGGCAUCCAUCUUGCACUCCGCGUGACUCUACUUGGUACCACUUGCCUCUCCCUUUUGUUAACUAACUCCAACUCUGACAGAAACUUAU
Long non-coding RNA from Triticum aestivum (bread wheat), 1549 nucleotides. RefSeq lists it as uncharacterized. Lineage: Eukaryota; Viridiplantae; Streptophyta; Magnoliopsida; Poales; Poaceae. The transcript is spliced from 5 exons. The record is from RefSeq and is a predicted model, not a curated record.